CCAGCUCCAAUAGCGUAUAUUUAAGUUGUUGCGGUUAAAAAGCUCGUAGUUGGAUCUGUGUGCCAUGCUGUUGGUUCGCCGUUUGACGGUGUAUUAACUGACAUGUCGUGGUACGUCCUGCCGGUUGGCAGUGUGGCGCGUCUUCGUGCGUUAGCCACGCUGUCAGUUGAAUCCUGUCGCGGUGCUCUUAACCGGGCGCCGAGGUAGGCCGGCACGUUUACCUUGAACAAAUUUGAGUGCUUAAAGCAGGCUAUGAUGCCGGAAAACUGUGUGCAUGGAAUAAUGGAAUAGGACUUCGGUUCUAUUUUGUUGGUUUUCAGAA
This 322-nucleotide ribosomal RNA is filed under the name Prasinoderma coloniale. RNAcentral describes it as "partial Eukaryotic small subunit ribosomal RNA". It matches the Rfam family "Eukaryotic small subunit ribosomal RNA", at positions 585 to 856 of the family's 1831-position model. The record is from RNAcentral. Lineage: Eukaryota; Viridiplantae; Prasinodermophyta; Prasinodermophyceae; Prasinodermales; Prasinodermaceae.